This 486-nucleotide ribosomal RNA is filed under the name uncultured bacterium. RNAcentral's name for it is "bacterial SSU rRNA". It matches the Rfam family "Bacterial small subunit ribosomal RNA", at positions 91 to 572 of the family's 1533-position model. The record is from RNAcentral.
CGGAGCGGCGAACGGGUGAGUAACACGUGGGCAACCUGCCCCUAGCUCUGGGAUAACACCGGGAAACCGGUGCUAAUACCGGAUAUGACCUCGGAGGGCAUUUUCUGAGGUGGAAAGUUUUUCGGCUAGGGAUGGGCCCGCGGCCUAUCAGCUUGUUGGUGGGGUAACGGCCUACCGAGGCGACGAUCCGUAGCUGGUCUGAGAGGAUGAUCAGCCACACUGGGACUGAGACACGGCCCAGACUCCUACGGGAGGCAGCAGUGGGGAAUAUUGGACAAUGGGGGCAACCCUGAUCCAGCAAUGCCGCGUGUGUGAAGAAGGCCUUCGGGUUGUAAAGCACUUUUAUCCGGAACGAAACGCGCAGGGUGAAUAGCCUUGCGAACUGACGGUACCGGAGGAAUAAGCACCGGCUAACUUCGUGCCAGCAGCCGCGGUAAUACGAAGGGUGCAAGCGUUACUCGGAAUUACUGGGCGUAAAGGGUGCGU